This 1570-nucleotide long non-coding RNA is filed under the name Leguminivora glycinivorella. RNAcentral's name for it is "uncharacterized LOC125241911, transcript variant X2". Lineage: Eukaryota; Metazoa; Arthropoda; Insecta; Lepidoptera; Tortricidae. The record is from RNAcentral.
UACCUACUGUUUAUUAUUUUUGCCUUUUAAUGAAGAAUGAGUGCAAUGUAGUUUUUAAAUAGUUUUUUAAUAAAUACACAUUAACUUAGUGACAACAUGUGGCUAUAACUCAUGAUAAUGACUCUAUGAAUAGCUCGAAAGCUACUUGCGGACUUAGGAUUCAAUUAAUGGACUCCAAGAAUCCAAAGAGAAAACAAAAAACGAAUUCAAGCAAGUCAAAACGGCAUCAAGAACCAUGCUACACUCAAGUAUGUUGGACCUAACUACGUUGAAAUCAACUGAGAAAUGUGAAGGUACCCUACUACGUACCAUUAAAAACAUUCAAGAGGAGAACUAUACUGUUGCUGUUUAAGGAGCAUUUCUGGUUUUGAAUCGUCACGGUUCGUGUUAAUUUAGUGUAGUUUUAAUUGAUGUGACUGAACGGCAAAAUGAAAAGAAAUAGUCGAGGAAAACAACUGGUCGCCAUGAGUUUGCAAGAAAUGCAGAAACUACAUAAAAUGAAGGCAGCUAAAGCUACUGAACUGAAGCAUAUAAAAAGACUCGCUGAAAGAAGAUGCUCAUACUAAAAUCUACUCUAUGGACUUACAGAAAACUGUUUUGUUACCUAUGAUUCCGGAUGUAAAAGACUGACUGACUUUUUUACAAGUAGACUAGUGGGACUAAAUUUGACAUUUUGUGGUUUAAGAAAGGAGAGUAAUGAAGCAUCUACAUAAGUGCAUAGUGUGGCACGAAGGCACUGGAGGGCGAGAUGCCAAAAAUAUAGUUGACGCCAUUUAUAAGUUUAUUCAGAGUGAAAGAGACACUAAGAACUUUAUUCUAUGGGCAGAUAACUGCAGUUCGCAAAAUAAAAACUGGAUUUUGUUUACUUCUUUGGUAGUGAUCGUUAACUUGCAUGAUAUUGAUUCAAUUACCAUCAAAUACCGCACCAAAGGUCAUACGCACAUGUCGGCAGACGGAGUUCAUGGGAACAUAGAGACAUACUUAAAUAAAACAAAAAAUGUGUAUAAUUUUCAAGAUUACAAGCAAUGUCUCGAAAAAAGCCGCAAAAAUAACGAGGUCAUUGAAGUUCAAAGUGAGAACAAACAUAAAUGGGAGAAAAAAAAGAAAACGACAUCUGCGGAUCUCAAAACCUUUUUGCUGAAAAACAUCGUGGAAGUAAAGUUUUUGAAAAAUCAAAAAACAUUACUUUACAAGAAAUCGUUUGACGAUGAAGCCUAUGUCACGCUAGAUUUUAUUCAAAAAAAGUUUAAAGUUGACCAGGGUCCCAAAACAGAACUCAGUACCACGUGGAUUUCGAUCGUCCAAAAAACACGAAAUUAUUUCCAAAUUAGUACCGUUAAUGCCAGUCAAUCGACAAGCAUUUUGGCAUGCAUUGCCACAAAGUGACAAUGUUGGCGAUCUUAUUCGUGACGAAGCAUUAAUGCAAGAUGUUUAAAAUUAAAUUACUGUACCUACAUAAUGUUUAAUAAAUACAUAUUUACCUAACAUCUCUACAUUUACAAUCCUGCACUAACGAAGGUUUCUGUUUGAUUCAAUGGUUGACUGGUAGAGAACGCCUUAAGGCAUUAAG